GUCCCUGUAGCGCAUUGGAUGACCUGUUGGACUUCUAAUCCAAAGGUCGUGGGUUCGAUUCCUACCUGGGAUG
This 73-nucleotide transfer RNA is filed under the name Trichonephila inaurata madagascariensis. It matches the Rfam family "tRNA". From Rfam's summary of the family: Transfer RNA (tRNA) molecules are approximately 80 nucleotides in length. Their secondary structure includes four short double-helical elements and three loops (D, anti-codon, and T loops). The record is from Rfam by way of RNAcentral. Lineage: Eukaryota; Metazoa; Arthropoda; Arachnida; Araneae; Nephilidae.